RNAcentral lists this ribosomal RNA (363 nucleotides) under Triticum aestivum (bread wheat). Its description in RNAcentral is "partial small subunit ribosomal RNA". Lineage: Eukaryota; Viridiplantae; Streptophyta; Magnoliopsida; Poales; Poaceae. The record is from RNAcentral.
AUGGUCCGGAGGUACUGGUGGGGUGUGGAGAAUGGAAAACAUAAGACACACUGGAUUGCAUGGGAAAAAUUAAUACUCCCAAAGAAUCAAGGUGGUCUCGGUUUUCGUGACAUGCGCCUCUUUAACCAGGCUUUGCUUGCGAGACAAGCUUGGCGUUUAAUUGAGCGACCAGAUAGUUUGUGUGCAAGGUUGUUGAAGGAAAAGUACUAUAGACGAGGAAACCUGAUUGAUACUGUGUUCACCGGAAACUCAUCAGUAGUUUGGAAGGGCAUUGAGCAUGGGCUAGAGUUGUUAAAGAAAGGUGUCAUAUGAAGGAUAGGUGAUGGGCGCAGCGUGAGAAUUUGGCGUGAUCCAUGGAUCCCA